UAUUUAGAUACCAAUUGCUUUAACAUUUGGCAUCCAUCGUCUCUGUUUACAACUAGAACAAGCUGUGGUCCACAUCUCCGCAUCUCAAUCAGAAUAACCCAUGCUAAAUUUUGGUCCCGCGAGGUUGAUGUUGAAUUUUACAGAAAUUUUUCUGUUUUUUAACUGAAAUACAUUAUUUUGGAAAAACAGAAGCAGACAUUUGAGUCAGUGCUUGGUGGAAUUAGAUACGACUGUCUCUAGGAGACAAGUUUUGAAAAUUUAAGUGUUUAAUUGAUCCUGUGGUCUUUUAUUUUUUAUUGUAUGGUUUAUUUGGUAAAUGUAUAGUCAAAAUAGGUUUG
This 338-nucleotide long non-coding RNA is filed under the name Mytilus galloprovincialis (Mediterranean mussel). Lineage: Eukaryota; Metazoa; Mollusca; Bivalvia; Mytilida; Mytilidae. The record is from RNAcentral.